This is a long non-coding RNA of Vidua chalybeata, 759 nucleotides long. RefSeq lists it as uncharacterized. The transcript is spliced from 3 exons. The record is from RefSeq and is a predicted model, not a curated record. NCBI's taxonomy places the organism in Eukaryota, Metazoa, Chordata, Aves, Passeriformes, Viduidae.
GACACAGCCCUUUCCUUCCCCACCUGGAAGUUUUGGAGGAGCAGAGGAAUUUUACAGCAUUUGUCAGCUUUCCUGAGGGCUCCCAGCCCUGGACACAGCAGUGCCAGGCGCUCCCUGUGAGUGGCCCCAGCACGAACACGUGUCCACGUUCACAUCCCACCCCAGGGCUCUGCAAAGCCUGGCUGCCCAAGCCCCCCAGGCCAUCAGAGCCAUCGAGGCACGGGCUCAGGGGUCCUUGGGCUGCACUGGGAGCUCGGCCACCCCUCCUCUGCCUGCUCCCUGCUGCCCCGGCUGUUUGAGGAUUCAGAUCCUUCACUGCUGAUUCCUGCAGGAUAAAGCUGGCUGGAAUUGCAAUUGGAGCUGCAGCCAUGCAGUAGUUGUUCUUUUUGUCAUGUAUGGGAUGAGACUAUCCAAUUAUCAAGUACUUACCAUAACAACUUCAGCCACACGUGCCUCAGUACAGGUUUCGCAAGAGGGACAAAGUGAUGUUCUAUGGGAGGAAGAUCAUGAGGAAGGUGAGGGCACCUGGCACAGGGGGAGGGAAGGAAAGAUUCAAAUCCAGCUGGGGAGGUGUGAAGUUUGCAGUAGUUCACUUGCUGAGCCUGGCCCAGGGCCUUCAACCUAUAAAUCUCACUGGGACUUUGUGGAUGUUUCACAACUCCUGCAACGCUGACUGGAUUGCUGAUGGAGCAGCAGCAGCUUCUCUUUCUGGCCAGACCUUCCCUCUUUCAAGAACAUUUACAGUCACUGAAGGCAGUA